GUGGUGUUGUUUAUGACAAUGGCACACCGGAAACCGGCGCCAUCUUAGAGUUGGCUUCCUACAAAAACCUGCUCACUGGAUACUUACUAAGAUUACCAUCUUUGGUUGUCUCAACCUUGUGAAGAGGGUGACAUGUCAACCAACUCUGUUUCCCAGAGUCUUGGUAAUGUCUGCAUUAAACAUUAUGAAUGAGCCGGUGGAACGUGCAUUGUCUCUUUUUGCUAUUAAGAAAAUAUUUGCUGGCAGCUUCCAAACUGGCAGCCAGGAGAAGUGGCUGUAAAAUCACCACAGUGAAAAGGAUGUCUUCAUUGGUCAAGACAGAGAAGCUAUAAAACCCAGACAAACAUAUAAUAAUAACAGUAAUGAUGUUCAGGUCUUGGACAAUGAGAAGAAUAAACAGGUUGCAGAAAAAGGAAAGGUGAGUGUG
This 427-nucleotide long non-coding RNA is filed under the name Mus spicilegus (steppe mouse). RNAcentral's name for it is "lncRNA (ENSMSIG00000025977.1)". Lineage: Eukaryota; Metazoa; Chordata; Mammalia; Rodentia; Muridae. The record is from RNAcentral.